UGAUUGAGUUAUUUUGCUAGUGACUGACUCAUUGAAAAAUAGUUUACUUUAAAAAUCUAGUAUUUAGUUUAAUAUGGAAACUUCUCUUGUUAACAAUGGCCUCAUCUUUCCUUAGAUGAAGAUGAGGAAAGUGAGGAAUCAAGUGAAGAAGAAUCUAGCUUGGAGAGUGAUGAGGAUGAGUCUGGAUCUGAAGAUGAGGUUUUUGAUGAUUCUAUUUGCCCAUCAAGUGAAAAUUGUGGCAGCUAAUCUGAAUGCAGCAGAGGAGGCCCUGGAGGCUUAUCAGCGAGAGAAGCAGCAGCGGCUGAAUGAACUGCUGGUUGUGAUUCCGCUCAAGCUCCACCAGGUGAUGCAUCUGGAGAGUCGCUCCACCCUGUCUGAGUCAUCACACCCAAACUUUUCAGAGAAAGAUUCAUGCUUCACUAAUGGGGAGAAUCGUGGUUCUUUGCUGAGAAUUCUACCUGUAGGAUGACACCUAAAUUGUCUUAUCCACUGUCAGAUUGUUAUAAAAGACUAACAUCAAAACAUACCUAUUUCCCUAUGGCUCAUUAGCACUUUGGAAAUCAGUCAUUUCAAGUGUAGAGGAAUGAAGAGCCUAUGAUUUAAGAAUGGAAUGGCUCAGAGGUGAAAUCUUGGCUCUUACACCAAUGUCACUUUUCACACCAUCUUUACCUGUGCAUGGACUAAUGAUGCUAAAAUGACCUUUGCUUAGUCUCUACUCAUUGAUGAGGGAGGUCAAGACAAAAGGGAAAUAUUUUCUCUUUUUUACUUAUUCAUUUCUACUUGAAUUGCAACUUACAUUAAAUUGCAGGAAUAUAUAUCAUUGAGAGAAAAGGCUCAUUGUAUUAUCUUUUAUCAGGUUAAGAGAAAAAGCUGUAUUUCAGGAAAACAACAACAUCAGCUUAAUGUAUGUUUUCUAUAACCUGACCCAAACUGGAUGAGCUAUGUGUAGCAGUUUGCCUAGUAUGCCAACCUUGAAAUGUCUGUCACGUUGUUAUACAGUGGAUAAUAGGCAUGAUCUGUGUGGGAGGAUUUGCUCUCCCCACAGAGAUGCGACAUGGCUUUCUCUCUGACAACAUCUCUCUGUGUUUGCCUGGCCACUGUCACUCGGUGAGG
RNAcentral lists this long non-coding RNA (1113 nucleotides) under Aotus nancymaae (Ma's night monkey). RNAcentral's name for it is "lncRNA (ENSANAG00000039256.1)". Lineage: Eukaryota; Metazoa; Chordata; Mammalia; Primates; Aotidae. The record is from RNAcentral.